GAUGAACGCUGGCGGCGUGCCUAAUACAUGCAAGUCGAGCGAACAGACAAGGAGCUUGCUCCUUUGACGUUAGCGGCGGACGGGUGAGUAACACGUGGGUAACCUACCUAUAAGACUGGGAUAACUUCGGGAAACCGGAGCUAAUACCGGAUAAUAUUUCGAACCGCAUGGUUCGAUAGUGAAAGAUGGUUUUGCUAUCACUUAUAGAUGGACCCGCGCCGUAUUAGCUAGUUGGUAAGGUAACGGCUUACCAAGGCGACGAUACGUAGCCGACCUGAGAGGGUGAUCGGCCACACUGGAGCUGAGACACGGUCCAGACUCCUACGGGAGGCAGCAGUAGGGAAUCUUCCGCAAUGGGCGAAAGCCUGACGGAGCAACGCCGCGUGAGUGAUGAAGGUCUUCGGAUCGUAAAACUCUGUUAUUAGGGAAGAACAUACGUGUAAGUAACUAUGCACGUCUUGACGGUACCUAAUCAGAAAGCCACGGCUAACUACGUGCCAGCAGCCGCGGUAAUACGUAGGUGGCAAGCGUUAUCCGGAAUUAUUGGGCGUAAAGCGCGCGUAGGCGGUUUUUUAAGUCUGAUGUGAAAGCCCACGGCUCAACCGUGGAGGGUCAUUGGAAACUGUAAAACUUGAGUGCAGAAGAGGAAAGUGGAAUUCCAUGUGUAGCGGUGAAAUGCGCAGAGAUAUGGAGGAACACCAGUGGCGAAGGCGACUUUCUGGUCUGUAACUGACGCUGAUGUGCGAAAGCGUGGGGAUCAAACAGGAUUAGAUACCCUGGUAGUCCACGCCGUAAACGAUGAGUGCUAAGUGUUAGGGGGUUUCCGCCCCUUAGUGCUGCAGCUAACGCAUUAAGCACUCCGCCUGGGGAGUACGACCGCAAGGUUGAAACUCAAAGGAAUUGACGGGGACCCGCACAAGCGGUGGAGCAUGUGGUUUAAUUCGAAGCAACGCGAAGAACCUUACCAAAUCUUGACAUCCUUUGACAACUCUAGAGAUAGAGCCUUCCCCUUCAGGGGACAAAGUGACAGGUGGUGCAUGGUUGUCGUCAGCUCGUGUCGUGAGAUGUUGGGUUAAGUCCCGCAACGAGCGCAACCCUUAAGCUUAGUUGCCAUCAUUAAGUUGGGCACUCUAAGUUGACUGCCGGUGACAAACCGGAGGAAGGUGGGGAUGACGUCAAAUCAUCAUGCCCCUUAUGAUUUGGGCUACACACGUGCUACAAUGGACAAUACAAAGGGCAGCGAAACCGCGAGGUCAAGCAAAUCCCAUAAAGUUGUUCUCAGUUCGGGUUGUAGUCUGCAACUCGACUACAUGAAGCUGGAAUCGCUAGUAAUCGUAGAUCAGCAUGCUACGGUGAAUACGUUCCCGGGUCU
This 1372-nucleotide ribosomal RNA is filed under the name uncultured bacterium. Its description in RNAcentral is "bacterial SSU rRNA". It matches the Rfam family "Bacterial small subunit ribosomal RNA", at positions 28 to 1381 of the family's 1533-position model. The record is from RNAcentral.